Molecule: long non-coding RNA, 421 nt
Filed under: Brassica napus (rape)
Lineage: Eukaryota; Viridiplantae; Streptophyta; Magnoliopsida; Brassicales; Brassicaceae
Description: long non-coding RNA (BNAP_LNC016562)
Source: RNAcentral
UAAGAAUGCACCCAAAAACUCAUAUAAUUUGCCAUACAUCUUUGUUUUUUUUUUAAUAUUUUUUAUGACUAUAAUAUCCUUAUCUCUAUCUCUCUCAUUUUUUCUUUUUAUGUGUUCUAAUCUCUUUAUCUCUCGUAUAGAUUCUUCAAAUCAUCUUCUAAUUCAACACAAAUCUUUAUUUUUUUAUUCUGAUUCAUUUGACAUCCAUAAUGCUAAUCUUAUUAUCUCACCCCAAUUCCAAUGUUUCUAAUUUCGAGUCACAAUCAACUUUUAGAUAAUAUAUACGUUAGUAGGUAUUUUAUUAGUUACCUGCUAAUAUUUAGAUUUUAAUGAAUUUUUAAUCGAUACAUGAAGUGUUAGCUGUUACAAAUAGUUUUGGGGCUAUUUGAUAGAUAACUAAUUAAUUGUUAAAAGUUUCAUU